Molecule: transfer RNA, 90 nt
Filed under: Patescibacteria group bacterium
Lineage: Bacteria
Description: tRNA-Ser
Rfam family: tRNA
About the family: Transfer RNA (tRNA) molecules are approximately 80 nucleotides in length. Their secondary structure includes four short double-helical elements and three loops (D, anti-codon, and T loops). Further hydrogen bonds mediate the characteristic L-shaped molecular structure. tRNAs have two regions of fundamental functional importance: the anti-codon, which is responsible for specific mRNA codon recognition, and the 3' end, to which the tRNAs corresponding amino acid is attached (by aminoacyl-tRNA synthetases). tRNAs cope with the degeneracy of the genetic code in two manners: having more than one tRNA (with a specific anti-codon) for a particular amino acid; and 'wobble' base-pairing, i.e. permitting non-standard base-pairing at the 3rd anti-codon position.
Source: RNAcentral
GGAGAGGUGGGUGAGUGGUUGAAAUCACCGCACUCGAAAUGCGGCAGGCUCGAAAGGGUCUCGGGAGUUCGAAUCUCCCCCUCUCCGCCA